GUGUCAGCCGCCGCGGUAAUACGUAGGUGGCAAGCGUUAUCCGGAAUUAUUGGGCGUAAAGCGCACGCAGGUGGCUUCUUAAGUCUGACGUGAAAGCUCCUGGCUUAACCGGGAGAGGUCGUUGGGUACUGGGAGGCUUGAGGCAAGGAGAGGGGCGUAGAAUUCCCGGUGUAGUGGUGGAAUGCGUAGAUAUCGGGAGGAAUACCAGAGGCGCAAGCGGCGCCCUGGCCUUGGCCUGACGCUCAGGUGCGAAAGCGUGGGGAGCGAACGGGAUUAGAAACCCCCGUAGUCC
RNAcentral lists this ribosomal RNA (292 nucleotides) under uncultured bacterium. Its description in RNAcentral is "partial 16S ribosomal RNA". It matches the Rfam family "Bacterial small subunit ribosomal RNA", at positions 505 to 796 of the family's 1533-position model. The record is from RNAcentral.